GUAAACGGACUUGAGCUUGUAUAGCGCUUUUCAAGUCUCCUGGCCACUCAAAGCGCUUUUACACCGCAGGUCACACCUACACAUUCAGAGACUCCUGUGUAAAGUGACCAUCAGUAUUAACUAAUCCCAUUCAUACGCUGCCCAAAAAGCAGUGGGAGCAACUUGGGGAUAAGUGUCUUGCCCAAGGACACAUCAGACAUUCUACAAUUCACUUAGCAGACUCUUUUAUCCAAAGCGACGUACAUCAGAGAGUAAGAACAACACAAGCAAGGAUCUAGAAGAAAGGGAACAAUGUCAGUAAGAGCAAACGAUCAGCUUUGAGUCUGAUUGGACACACAGGUGCUGACAGGAAGUGACCAGAGGUAAAGCACAACAUUGAGGGCAGUUCUUGAGAGCUCUAAUCAGUAUAGAAACCAUCUUAUAAGUCGUCGUUAUCAAACAAAAACCAUCGUCAUUACCAUCAUCAUCAUCAAUAAUAUGGAGACCAUCAUCAUUAAGUUAGUAGGUAUUCAUGAAAGAGCUGGGUCUUUAGCUUUUUCUUAAAGGUGCAGAGGGACUCUGCAGAGCCAAUGGAGGGAUCAAACCUCCAACCUUCCAGUUGAGAGACGAUUGACUCUACCACUGAGCCACAGCCACCCAACAACACAGCACAUUACUCCCUCUCUAAACAAUAUCACUGUGCUUUCAAACACACAGUAACCGUGUACAGUAUCAAAAAAAGUUGUCCUGUCUCUGUGUGUCAAGAAGCAGCAAGACACAGUGCACCAAAUGUUGCCCAUGUUUAUUGAUGAGAGGAGCAGAAUAAUGCAGUCAAUAUAAAUAAUGUAGCUAACAGCUCCAGCUUCUUUGACUCGACUCUCAGAGAGAGAGAGAGAGAGAGAGAGACUGACGGGGACUCAUUCCCGAGUCAGUGAGGCGACUUCAACUUUUCUCAUGGACACCUGUUCAAUAUGCCAUGACGCGCUCGCUUCACACUUUCUGAUCGCAGAUUCAUCAUCAUCAUCAUCAUCAUCAUCAUCAUUAUCGUCGUCGUCGUCAGCGCUGACUGCGUUAAAGCGGGGGCGGUGAUGUGCGUCUGCGAGCACAUUUCAAUGAUUAAGAAAAAGGAAAACAUUGCCAUGUGCACGUGGUGUUUGAAUUGGAUUCGCUUUCUGGUUUCUGCGUUUGCAUGAAGAUGAACUUUGAUCAUCAGUCCGCUUUAUCAAAACAUGCUGAAGCUCCAAACACACAGCAGGUUAUGUAGGAGCCACUGUUUCUGUGAAUUACUCAAAGUCAUUUAUCUCUCCAGCUCACUCUCUGUUGCUCAUAUUGACGCCACCUCCCUCACUAACUAUCUCUUGAUCUCUCUCUCUCUCUCUCCUCCACACGCUCAUCCCAACGUCAACACGCUGCAGGGAACACACAUCUGGAUGUAUGUGGAGCUCGGGGACGCGACUGCGCGGCGAGAGGAAGUCAAAUGAAGGAAGAGGAGAGGAUGAAAGCUCGAGGGGAACAAUCAGAAGGGCAAUGAGGUAAUAUAACCCAACAUCCUAAAGAAGGGUGGAAGAGCACACAUGUGCAAAAGUGCUUAGAUUUAAAGGAAUACACACACACACACACACACACACACACACACACACACACACACACACACACACACACACACACA
This is a long non-coding RNA of Labrus mixtus (cuckoo wrasse), 1648 nucleotides long. RefSeq lists it as uncharacterized. The transcript is spliced from 2 exons. The record is from RefSeq and is a predicted model, not a curated record. NCBI's taxonomy places the organism in Eukaryota, Metazoa, Chordata, Actinopteri, Labriformes, Labridae.